CAGCAGCCGCGGUAAUUCGUAGGGUGCAAGCGUUGUUCGGAAUCACUGGGCGUAAAGGGAGCGUAGGCGGGAGUGUAAGUUAGGAGUGAAAUUUAUCGGCUCAACCGAUAACUUGCUUUUAAUACUGCAUUUCUUGAGUAUGGGAGAGGAUGAUAGAAUUCCAGGUGUAGCGGUGGAAUGCGUAGAUAUCUGGAAGAAUACCAGUUGCGAAGGCGGUCAUCUGGCCCAAUACUGACGCUGAGGCUCGAAAGCUAGGGGAGCAAACAGGAUUAGAUACCCUGGUAGUCCUAGCCGUAAACGAUGGAUACUAGAUGUUGGAAGUUUUACUUUCGGCGUCGCAGCUAACGCAUUAAGUAUCCCGCCUGGGGAGUACGCUCGCAAGGGUGAAACUUAAAGGAAUUGACGG
Molecule: ribosomal RNA, 406 nt
Filed under: uncultured bacterium
Lineage: Bacteria
Description: bacterial SSU rRNA
Rfam family: Bacterial small subunit ribosomal RNA
Source: RNAcentral